GUCUUCAUAGUAUAUUCAAGCUUAUGUAAUAAUACUUUAAUUACUUUCCUCUUAAGUUUCAAUAAAUGAUGAGCUUCUGAUUCCAAGAAUCUCCUUUUCUUUAUGCGUUUAGCCAGGCCCAGAAAGUUAUGAGAAUCUCAGUCUUCAAUCUUUGAAACUUAAGAAUUAAGAUGAUCUACUAAGUGUGUACAUGUUUGUGGACAUGUGAACAUUGCUGGGGGGCAAGAAGCCAUCUUACACUUUCUUCAUUGCAUAGUCAUCAUGGACAAAGGCUGCAUUUUAACCUAGAGUACCUGGGAUAUGGGAUUCAAUGCAUUGGGAUCUGAAACACAAUGGGAAAUGCGAUGUGCAGCAUUGUGCUUUGCCCAGGAUGCUCAGACCUCGUCCAUAACCUAGCAGCUUUAUAGAGUUGGCUGUAUCUGACAGUUGUUGGUCCAUAGGCUGAAUUUAACACACUAAUCUGUUUUCUUCUUGACCACUCCCUCCCUUAAAAUAAAAUUUCAAGUUGCACACCCUGGGAGAGAAGGUCUUGGUUAAAAGGACAAAUUUUUCCUAUGAUAAUUUAGAUGUUUUGAUGAACGUUUUAAUUGUCAUUUGUUGCUAAUGCAAGUAAAUGGUGCUGUUUUAAAUGAAAAGUUGAGCUACAUCUUCAGGUAGGAACAUUUUGAAUUAGAUUAAUGGAUUGUAGUCUAAGUGGAAAAGACAUGAUAAAUUGAGAUACAAUUAAAUAGCUCUAUUAAGAAAAAAGGAAUUAAAUCUUCAUUUGAAAUGAAAUGAAAAGGUCUAAUUUGAGCUACUCUGAAUACCUUCCCUUUUUAAUUUUUAAGUUCUUCUAACUACAACUGUUGUCUGGUGCAUUUAUUUUCAGAAAGCAAAGAUAAGCAUGAAAACAUGAACAAUGAAUGGCACAACAAUGAAAAUGAGUCAUUGCAACAACAUCCACAAAAUUCAGCUGACCUGAGGGUGGGAAGAAAACUACAUCAUUUUGAUCAUUUUUCUUCUUAACAUUUUAGUUUGUAGCUUAAGUGCAAAGAAAUACUAGUGUUUUUCUUGUUGUUGUUUUGUAGUUUUCCUGUCCCCUCAGUUCCCUCCAAUGUGUAUAAUACCAUUCUUCAAUGAAGUAAUAGGACAUUUAACAAAGAUCACUAUGUGCAAUACUGUAUUUAGUGUUUCUAUGUCAAUUUUUUAGGAUGUUAAUUUAUAUGAAAAUAAAAUGAAUAAUAAA
Molecule: long non-coding RNA, 1225 nt
Filed under: Marmota monax (woodchuck)
Lineage: Eukaryota; Metazoa; Chordata; Mammalia; Rodentia; Sciuridae
Source: RNAcentral